UGAAAACUUUGAAGAGAACAGCGUGCACCAGCAACGAAGCGUGGAGGCGACACACCGGCAGCGCGCUUUCUGCCUCCGGCAAGAUGGCUGCCGCUGGCGUCACCUGACGGGCGUCGCUUCCACUCCAGCAAGUUUUUAUAUCCUCCUUGGUCUUCACCUUGUUCGCACGUUGGAUGCUCCAGAUGGUAUUUGGAUGGAUGUCACGGCCGUCACAGCCGUGCAGCGACCAGCUGUUUAUUCAAGUUGAAAUGGAAGGUCAGCUAUUUUUUCAUAGAAAGUGUCAGCAGUGCUGAAUACGCAGUGCACAGAAAGCUCCAUCAUAUUGUACUAGUGCGGUUACAAAGAAGUACUGCUAGGCCACUGAGAAGAAUUUUCCAUUGAAAUACCUGCAAAUGUGCUGCUGCUUCUGCUUGGUGCUGCGAUCCUCAUAAUCACGCAUAACCGAUUUGCCGUCCAACAAAUGUUCCUACUGUGUUUUGUUGAAAAUUGGUGAAAGUGGUUGCCUAAGGGAUGACUUAUUGAAGAAGAGGACCUCAUGUUUUUUUUUCUUUUUCUAAAUGAGACAUACCCUGCUUAACAAAACUGAUGCAGCUGUUUCGGAUGUAAUAAAAGGAUGGCUGUGUUUGAUUCAGAUCAAGAAGGUGCACCUCUGCAAGAUGGCAUGCCAGUACGAUAGAUGACUUCAAGAGAAGCCCAAGCAACACUUCAGUUUGGAAAAUGGAAAAAUGGCAUAUUGCCCUCUAUAUAGUUUGUGUGAAAUAAACCUGCAGCACCAAAAA
Rhipicephalus microplus (southern cattle tick) is the source of this 779-nucleotide long non-coding RNA. The record is from RefSeq and is a predicted model, not a curated record. Lineage: Eukaryota; Metazoa; Arthropoda; Arachnida; Ixodida; Ixodidae.